Molecule: long non-coding RNA, 1182 nt
Organism: Pygocentrus nattereri (red-bellied piranha)
Lineage: Eukaryota; Metazoa; Chordata; Actinopteri; Characiformes; Serrasalmidae
Source: Ensembl
AUUUUCUCUGCCCCCCCACUUCUCUUUCUUAGAUAUGUUCUAUCAGAGCUGGUAGAGACAGAAAGGCUAUAUGUGGAAGAUCUAGGCCUCAUAGUUGAGGGCUACAUGGCCACUAUGAGUAACAGUGGAGUUCCAGAGUAUAUGAAAGGCAAAGAUAAAAUAGUAUUUGGAAAUGUUCACCAAAUCUAUGACUGGCAUAAGGACUACUUCCUUGGUGAACUGAAGAAGUGUGUGUCUAAUCCAGAGCAGCUGGGGCAGCUCUUCAUCAAACAUGAGCGGCGUCUUCACAUGUACGUGGUGUACUGCCAAAACAAGCCCAAGUCUGAGUGCAUUGUCUCAGAGUACAUAGACACCUAUUUUGAGGAUUUAAGACAGCAGUUGGGCCACAGGCUGCAGCUGAAUGACCUGCUGAUUAAACCUGUUCAGAGGAUCAUGAAGUAUCAGCUUCUACUCAAGGACUUCUUGAAGUAUUAUGUUAAAACAGGGAAACACACAGAAGAACUUGAGAGCGCGGUUGAGGUGAUGUGUUUUGUUCCUAAGCGAUGUAAUGAUAUGAUGAAUGUUGGGAGACUGCAAGGUUUUGAGGGGAAGAUAACAGCUCAGGGAAAACUGCUUCAGCAAGACACUUUCGCACUCAUCGAACAGGAAACUGGCGUCCUGCCCCGCCCCAAACAGAGGCAGGUAUUCCUUUUUGAGCAGCUCGUCAUCCUCAGCGAGCCAAUCGACCGCAAGAAAGAAUUCUCUCUGCCAGGAUACAUCUACAAGAACAGCAUCAAGGUGAGCUGCUUGGGAAUAGAGCACCGUUGCCCUGAUGACCUGUGUCGGUUGGUUCUGACAUCUCGUGCUGCCAGUGGAGAUGUGCAGCGGUUUGUCCUUCAGGCUCCGUCUCCAGAAGUCAGACUGUCUUGGGCCAAUGACAUUAUUCAGAUUCUGGAAACGCAGCACAACUUCCUCAAUGCCCUGCAGUCUCCUAUCGAGUAUCAGAAGCGUGAGAGUAAGUCGCUCAGUCUGGGCAGAGGCAUUAGGACAUCAACUUCUGUGAACUCCGGCUGCAACGGUUACUCGACAAAUGUAACAUGUAAUUAUCAUAGAAAAAUCAUUGUUGCAGCCCUACAACACUUUAAUUUCUCUCCUGAUUUCUGGCCCUCUUAUUGUCCAGGAUGUCCUCUGAUGACUGCGUAG